RNAcentral lists this ribosomal RNA (376 nucleotides) under uncultured bacterium. Its description in RNAcentral is "bacterial SSU rRNA". It matches the Rfam family "Bacterial small subunit ribosomal RNA", at positions 523 to 898 of the family's 1533-position model. The record is from RNAcentral.
AGACGGAGGGGGCAAGCGUUGUUCGGAAUGACUGGGCGUAAAGCGCGCGUAGGCGGCGCAUCAAGUGGAGCGUGAAAGCCCUCGGCUUAACCGAGGAAGCGCGAUGCAGACUGAUGGGCUCGAGUGUCGGAGGGGGAGGCGGAAUUCCUGGUGGAGCGGUGAAAUGCGUAGAGAUCAGGAAGAACGUCGGUGGCGAAGGCGGCCUCCUGGACGAACACUGACGCUGAGGAGCGAGAGCGUGGGGAGCGAACGGGAUUAGAUACCCCGGUAGUCCACGCCGUAAACGAUGGGCACUAGGUGUGGGCUCGGAGACCGAGUCCGUGCCGGAGCUAACGCAGUAAGUGCCCCGCCUGGGGAGUACGGUCGCAAGGCUGAA